CUCAUUAUUAUUGAAUUACACACACCUAGGUCUUAACCAUUGUGCUACGUUACUAUUUUAUUUUAAUUUGUUUUCUUACUAUGACGGAUAAGUUAUAACAAAGUGAAUCCACGCUAGUAUUAGUAACUCGAAGUGAGAUCAAAGUAGGAAUAAUCCGUAUCAAGAAUUUCUCAUUUGGAAAUAACAAACAAUUGGACAGAUCUUAUUUCAGAAUAUAGCUUGGGGAGUUGAAUUGUGUGUAGAUUGAUUCCCAGGUAUUGAGACAGAUAAGGUUUUGCCUAGAGUCAUAUCAUGUUGCCAAAAGAUGGCAGCACUAAGAAGAUAGUAAGUAAGCUGUCGGCUCAUAUUCCUGCCUUCACAGACAUUUUUGAUGAGGAAACAUUCUACAUCUUCUUCAUCUGUUUGACUGUAAUCACAGUCUCACUGGCAAUAUACUGUUCAAGAAAACUCACCAUAAAGGAUGCAGGACAUGUGGAUUAGAAAUUACCUGCAACGGUGAAUUAUUUAGUGGUCAGAAGUUCCUUGAUGGUUCAGACACUUCACAUCACAGUAUAAACCAUCAUGAUGAAUGUUCACAGAAUAAUGAGAAGUUCAUUCGAAUGGGUGUGUCUCGCUUACUUGAGUAACUAAUUAUAUGUUACCAUAAACCUUUCAGUUGGACUUUAUAGUUUGAUAUAAAUUAUUGAUUGUGCUUUUGCCCUGUCUUACAUGUAUGUCUUGUUUUUUACCCAAUAUAUAUGUGUACAUGUGAAAUAAGAAGUCAAGUGUGUAUGAUAUGGUUAAGUUAAUAAAUCAAGUUGUUUGAA
Molecule: long non-coding RNA, 806 nt
Organism: Mytilus trossulus (common blue mussel)
Lineage: Eukaryota; Metazoa; Mollusca; Bivalvia; Mytilida; Mytilidae
Exons: 2
Source: RefSeq, a predicted model, not a curated record